UACGCAGACGCGGAGUCCUGACCGGGUCUGAUAAGAAGCAGCUGUCUUGUGAUAAGAACAACGACGAGGGGAAGAUAACGAGAGUUUCCUCAGCCACAACUUGAGAUUAGCGAAGGUACUAAGCUGAUAGCUGGAGCGGUGAACAUGGAUAGAAGAUUGAAAAAUGGAUCAGCUGUAGCCCAUCAGUGUCGAGCGAAGUUAGCAUCAGAUGAAACGACGAUAUUUUCGACCAGUAACGUCUAAAAAAUCAUUCACAGUUGACGAAAUUUUUCAGAGACCGGUAUGAUGUAUGACUACUUCGAAUCAAAUAGUGUCUGUAGUCUGUGCUUGGAGGAUAUCUAUCGCUUCAUCAACUGUAUUCGUAGAAAAUGGUCUCCACACUCCACUCAUUCAAUCUUCGAAGAACACAAACUGAAUUUGAAAGAACUGAGAUUUGUAUCUGUACUAUAUUCCCGAUUAACUUUUUCGAUUAUCGCCGUCUGUUCAUCAGUAAAACCGAACGUUUAUCUAGCCCACAUAUCUACCUGUUGAGCAAAGAUUAGAUGUUGGUUUAACAUCUUAAUGUGUUGAAGAAGGAUUCCGGUGAUUCGACUGUUGUAGGAUGAGUGUCAUAGAUCGAAUAAGACAAAAAAAAACAAAUGAAAGUUGGUUCUUUUGUUGCUGUCAUACACUAUUUCGAGGAAAGGCACCGGAAGACUUCCACAACAACCCGAACGAAAUCCAGUUCAGAAGAAAUUUGUUAUUGUGUGAUCUGAUUUUAUACAAUAUGUACAUUGGCGAAGACUGACAACUCAUUUAAACGAAUAACAAAAAAAUGCUAUAAGGUAAAAAGAAUCUACGAGUAUUUGAACGUCACUCGUCAGUGAAUAUUCGUUAGUCAAAGAGGAGUAAUCAACGUUUGGAAAAUGACUUCAAUAUCGAAAACUGUAAAGCCGAAAGUCGCUCUUUCGUUGACCAUCUCCGUCGAAAGGCUCAGCAACGUUGAAAUUGACUCCAAGAAUUGUAAAGAUGAGUUGUGUUAUGCUGGUUAUAUUCGAGUAGUAUCCGAAUCUAUAGUGAAUGUUUUUGGAGAUGCUCAACUGCAGCACAAAUGGUGGAAGCUGAUUCGCCGUCUCAUUCAAGUUCUUUAUAAUGGAGUCAAAGGAGUACUCGAUGAAAGUGUGUGAUUCGAACAAGAUUUUUUAGCGUUUAGAAUUUAUUAUUAAUUAUUAAAAUAAUUAGUACACGUGAA
Planococcus citri (citrus mealybug) is the source of this 1231-nucleotide long non-coding RNA. RefSeq lists it as uncharacterized. The transcript is spliced from 8 exons. The record is from RefSeq and is a predicted model, not a curated record. Lineage: Eukaryota; Metazoa; Arthropoda; Insecta; Hemiptera; Pseudococcidae.